RNAcentral lists this ribosomal RNA (330 nucleotides) under uncultured bacterium. RNAcentral's name for it is "bacterial SSU rRNA". It matches the Rfam family "Bacterial small subunit ribosomal RNA", at positions 568 to 898 of the family's 1533-position model. The record is from RNAcentral.
UGUGCAGGCGGCCUCUUAAGUUUGGUGUGAAAUCUCCCGGCUCAACCGGGAGGGUGCGCCGAAUACUGAGAGGCUCGAGUGCGGGAGAGGAGAGUGGAAUUCCUGGUGUAGCGGUGAAAUGCGUAGAUAUCAGGAGGAACACCGGCGGUGUAGACGGCUCUCUGGACCGCGACUGACGCUGAGACACGAAAGCGUGGGUAGCAAACAGGAUUAGAUACCCUGGUAGUCCACGCCCUAAACGAUGCAUAUUUGGUGUGGGCAGUUCAUUCUGUCCGUGCCGGAGCUAACGCGUUAAAUAUGCCGCCUGGGGAGUACAGUCGCAAGGCUGAA